This 477-nucleotide ribosomal RNA is filed under the name uncultured organism. RNAcentral describes it as "partial 16S ribosomal RNA". It matches the Rfam family "Bacterial small subunit ribosomal RNA", at positions 332 to 800 of the family's 1533-position model. The record is from RNAcentral.
UACACUCCUGCGGGAGGCAGCAGUGGGGAAUUUUGGACAAUGGGCGAAAGCCUGAUCCAGCAAUGCCGCGUGAGUGAAGAAGGCCUUCGGGUUGUAAAGCUCUUUUGUCAGGGAAGAAACGGUGAGAGCUAAUAUCUUUUGCUAAUGACGGUACCUGAAGAAUAAGCACCGGCUAACUACGUGCCAGCAGCCGCGGUAAUACGUAGGGUGCAAGCGUUAAUCGGAAUUACUGGGCGUAAAGCGUGCGCAGGCGGUUUUGUAAGUCUGAUGUGAAAUCCCCGGGCUCAACCUGGGAAUUGCAUUGGAGACUGCAAGGCUAGAAUCUGGCAGAGGGGGGUAGAAUUCCACGUGUAGCAGUGAAAUGCGUAGAUAUGUGGAGGAACACCGAUGGCGAAGGCAGCCCCCUGGGUCAAGAUUGACGCUCAUGCACGAAAGCGUGGGGAGCAAACAGGAUUAGAAACCCCGGUAGUCCCAUGA